GACGAACGCUGGCGGCGUGCUUAACACAUGCAAGUCGAACGGAAAGGCCCUGCUUUUGUGGGGUGCUCGAGUGGCGAACGGGUGAGUAACACGUGAGUAACCUGCCCUUGACUUUGGGAUAACUUCAGGAAACUGGGGCUAAUACCGGAUAGGAGCUCCUGCUGCAUGGUGGGGGUUGGAAAGUUUCGGCGUUGGGGGAUGGACUCGCGGCUUAUCAGCUUGUUGGUGGGGUAGUGGCUGACCAAGGCUUUGACGGGUAGCCGGCCUGAGAGGGUGACCGGCGACAUUGGGACUGAGAUGCGGCACCGACUGCGACGGGAGGGAGCAGUGGGGAAGAUUGCACAAUGGGCGGAAGCCUGAUGAAGCAACGCCGCGUGCGGGAUGACGGCCUUAGGGUUGUAAACCGCUUUCGCCUGUGACGAAGCGUGAGUGACGGUAAUGGGUAAAGAAGCACCGGCUAACUACGUG
Molecule: ribosomal RNA, 468 nt
Filed under: uncultured bacterium
Lineage: Bacteria
Description: partial 16S ribosomal RNA
Rfam family: Bacterial small subunit ribosomal RNA
Source: RNAcentral